AUAAUCAUUGGGGUUUACAGCACAGUACAUCAUGUUGAUGGCUUUAGCGUUGUUCUCCACUUUUCUGAUAUCGUCCGCAUCGUAUUCAUCUUCGGAUUUAGGAACCAUUUCAUUUUCAACCUUUUUGGUUGGUAUUUGCUCUCCAUUCUUUAUAAUUUUUCACAGUAUAAAAUUAUUUGAUUGGAUGAAUAUUCUCAUCCUCUCCUUCCAAUAAGUGUAAUUGGUGCCAUCGAAG
RNAcentral lists this long non-coding RNA (235 nucleotides) under Nicotiana benthamiana. RNAcentral's name for it is "long non-coding RNA (NBEN_LNC008697)". Lineage: Eukaryota; Viridiplantae; Streptophyta; Magnoliopsida; Solanales; Solanaceae. The record is from RNAcentral.